CCUACGGGGGGCAGCAGUGGGGAAUAUUGGGCAAUGGGCGCAAGCCUGACCCAGCAACGCCGCGUGAAGGAAGAAGGCUUUCGGGUUGUAAACUUCUUUUAAGGGGGAAGAGCAGAAGACGGUACCCCUUGAAUAAGCCACGGCUAACUACGUGCCAGCAGCCGCGGUAAUACGUAGGUGGCAAGCGUUGUCCGGAUUUACGGGGUGUAAAGGGCGUGCAGCCGGGGAGACAAGUCAGAUGUGAAAUCCACGGGCUCAACCCGUGAACUGCAUUUGAAACUGUUUCCCUUGAGUGUCGGAGAGGUAGUCGGAAUUCCUUGUGUAGCGGUGAAAUGCGUAGAUAUAAGGAAGAACACCAGUGGCGAAGGCGGAUUACUGGACGAUAACUGACGGUGAGGCGCGAAAGCGUGGGGAGCAAACAGGAUUAGAUACCCGAGUAGUC
Molecule: ribosomal RNA, 442 nt
Filed under: uncultured bacterium
Lineage: Bacteria
Description: partial 16S ribosomal RNA
Rfam family: Bacterial small subunit ribosomal RNA
Source: RNAcentral